RNAcentral lists this ribosomal RNA (255 nucleotides) under Pseudomonas sp. PDM08. RNAcentral's name for it is "partial 23S ribosomal RNA". It matches the Rfam family "Bacterial large subunit ribosomal RNA", at positions 1056 to 1312 of the family's 2925-position model. Lineage: Bacteria; Pseudomonadati; Pseudomonadota; Gammaproteobacteria; Pseudomonadales; Pseudomonadaceae. The record is from RNAcentral.
UGGUUAAGUGGGAAACGAUGUGGGAAGGCUUAGACAGCUAGGAGGUUGGCUUAGAAGCAGCCACCCUUUAAAGAAAGCGUAAUAGCUCACUAGUCGAGUCGGCCUGCGCGGAAGAUGUAACGGGGCUCAAACCAUACACCGAAGCUACGGGUAUCACUUAGGUGAUGCGGUAGAGGAGCGUUCUGUAAGCCUGUGAAGGUGAGUUGAGAAGCUUGCUGGAGGUAUCAGAAGUGCGAAUGCUGACAUGAGUAACGA